GGAGAUGUACCGAAGUGGCCAUAACGGGGCGCUCUCGAAAAGCGUUUGCCGGGUGACCGGCACGUGGGUUCGAAUCCCACCAUCUCCGCCA
Molecule: transfer RNA, 91 nt
Filed under: Clostridiaceae bacterium
Lineage: Bacteria; Bacillati; Bacillota; Clostridia; Eubacteriales; Clostridiaceae
Also listed under: 3 other names
Description: tRNA-Ser
Rfam family: tRNA
About the family: Transfer RNA (tRNA) molecules are approximately 80 nucleotides in length.
Source: RNAcentral